AUAUGGUAACUUUGUAUGAACUUUAUGUUUGUAAUCUUACUUAUAUAAAAAAAGUUUAUGUAGUUUGAGCAUCCAGGUUGGCGUUGUGUUAUGCAAAUGUAACUUGCAAGUGUUAGGGAGUUAUAAAAAGAGUCAUAGUGGAACCUUAAAGGGGACGUUUCCUCGAGUUAGCAUGUUUCGUUUACNNNNNNNNNNNNNNNNNNNNNNNNNNNNNNNNNNNNNNNNNNNNNNNNNNNNNNNNNNNNNNNNNNNNNNNNNNNNNNNNNNNNNNNNNNNNNNNNNNNNAGAGUCUUAGUGAAGUGUGUGGUUGUGUAAAUGCACUUUUUAUCUUGAGCUUUAUGCAGCAAGUAUGUGGCAGAACUGAACAAUACAGCUCCACUUCAGUUUGGCUGUUGUUUUCACAUCCGAAAAUUUUCUCCUAUCCUGGUUAGUAGUCACCUGUUCUUUCUCUUAUUAAAAAAUUCCAUUGCUCUUCGUUACCUCCCAUUUACCCUCAACUAAGAGUUAUGGUGGAAAUGGUUUCUGUCAGCCAUUUACAAGCACCAUAAGGAAUCUCUCUCUCCUUGCUUCUGACUCGUUUAGGAGGUCCACUGGCUUGUUUACUGACACAAGUACUGAUUGUCUGACUUACUGACAUUGACACGGGGCAAAUAAUUGUUUUCUGUGUGGAACUUUACCAUUUUCUGCAUGGAAUCUACAGGUGAUAAACUCAAUGAAGAACAGAAUUCAUUAAAUGAAUCAGCAGCAGAGAUGCUCUAUGGUCUAAUUCAUGCCCGAUACAUACUGACCAGCAAAGGGAUUACUGCAAUGGUAAUUUACUUUCGAGAUCAAUUGAUGUCUGCAAUUUUAACCGUUUUAUUCAGCUCUGACUGUUUUAUAACUGAACUUCAAUUACUUUGUAUGUCUCAGUUGGAGAAGUACAAGAACAAUGAUUUUGGGACAUGCCCAAGGGCCAACUGCUGUGAACAACCAUGUUUACCGGUUGGUCAGUCAGAUAUCCCCAGGUCAAGUUAUGUGAGAAUCUACUGUCCAAAAUGCGAGGAUAUUUAUUUUCCGCGAACUAGAUAUCAAUAUGGUAACUUUGUAUGAACUUUAUGUUUGUAAUCUUACUUAUAUAAAAAAAGUUUAUGUAGUUUGAGCAUCCAGGUUGGCGUUGUGUUAUGCAAAUGUAACUUGCAAGUGUUAGGGAGUUAUAAAAAGAGUCAUAGUGGAACCUUAAAGGGGACGUUUCCUCGAGUUAGCAUGUUUCGUUUACCCUGUCCGAGUAUAAACCUGUAUCUGAUGGCAAUAGAGUGAACAUGUUAUGGGCCCACACUGCUCAGUUCAUCAUGGCCAGCGCAUUUCAAUUACAACAAAUUGUUUGUCGGUCCACACACACAGACAUGCCAGAAGAUGAUGCCAAACACCACCACCAAAAAUGGCCUCUCACAACCACCAAAACCCAGCUCAUAAACAUGAGGAGCAUUGUUGUUGCCACCUUUCCCCACUAUCAUGAAAAACCACUUCUACCAUACCCACCUAAUGCCACUGCUGCCAAAAUAUGUUGCAGAUCCUUUUUGUGUAUCUAAUGUGUGUGUGUGCGUGCCCAGGGGGAGAUGGCUAGUCAGAAGUCAGAACACCAAAGUUAAACUGUUAUAACACCCAAGAGUUACAGUCCUGGUAACGCUUCUGGUCCCAUAAGCUCAAAAGUCAAUGGUAACAUACUCACAUUCCAAAUCUUAGUGGUUCGUCUGUCAGGUGUGAUAAUUGAGGCAAGAGCAGGUCAUUGCUCAACUUAGUCAGUUUUAUAUGAUAUAUGGAAGGGAAUUAUUUCUAAAUCAUGCAACACUUCUUAAUAUAUUCAUUCAACAUUUUUACCAAAAAUUAUUUAGUGGUAUGUUGGUUAAAAUCACUGACUGGAGUUGUGUUUUGGAGCUGAAUGAUGAAUUUAGAACAUAUUUUCCUGUUAUUAUCCCAUAUUGUAUUCAAGCCACUAUAAUAAGGUAAACAGAUGGAUGCUCUGGGUCUUCCUCUAUCCUUUUGCAGAAAUAAGGUGGUGAGCUUGUCUUUCUUGCAUUCUGCGUUAUCUAUAUUAUUAUGUUUUCAUAAUUUGCUUAAAGGUUUAUAAUUGUUACAUUUGACCCAUUGUAAUCAGUUUAUUUAUUUGGUGUGCUUCAUGGAGAUGAAACUACUAUUAACGUAGCUUACACGGAAUUCCCUGUCAUGUCUAAUAAAUGAAUGAUAAAUUCUUAUUGAGUAUUGAUUGACAAAGUUGUAAUUUUAAUAUAGAAGGUGAAAAGUCAUCGAGUGAUAUCUGCUCUAAGAUGUCACAGGGUCCUGACUCUGCGGUGUGUUCUCAGUUAUCGAAAGUGCUCGAUCGUGAUAAUAUGGACAGUGAAUGCCCCUCAGUAGAUGGUCAUUGUGCAGAAUAUGAGAGGCUAUUGAGUGAUAUCUGCACUAAGAUGUCACAGGGUCCUGACUCUGUGGUUUUUUCGGAACAGCUUGAUCAUGAUAAAUUAGACAGUGAAUACAAUGAUGGAUAUUUGGAAUAUGUUCCUGGUGGCUCCAUCUAUUUCUCCAAGAAUAUGGACUAUUGAGGCUGCUCGAGUUCAGCAUCUCUUCUUAGAUGUAACUAAAAUAUUGUAUUGUAAUGAUUGUAAUGUUGUAAUGAUUGUAUUGUGAAUGAUUGUAAUGUUGUAAAAUAUCUCUUUUUAUAUUGUAAUGUUAUAGUGUGAAUGAUUUUAAAUGAUGUA
Molecule: long non-coding RNA, 2732 nt
Filed under: Panax ginseng (ginseng)
Lineage: Eukaryota; Viridiplantae; Streptophyta; Magnoliopsida; Apiales; Araliaceae
Description: long non-coding RNA (PGIN_LNC009715)
Source: RNAcentral